UCAGAACGAACGCUGGCAGCGUGGAUUAGGCAUGCAAGUCGAACGGGAUCGGGAAGGUAGCAAUAUCGGCCCGUGAGAGUGGCGGAAGGGCGAGGAACACGUGGGCAACCUGUCCUUGAGGUGGGGAAAACCGUUGGAAACGACGGCUAAUACCGAAUGCGGCGCCGGGAGGCAUCUUCCGAGCGCUAAAGGGGGCCGCAAGGCUCUCGCUCGUAGAGGGGCUCGCGCACCAUCAGCUUGUUGGCGGGGUAACGGCCCACCAAGGCCUACGGUUAGCUGGUCUGAGAGGAUGACCCAGCCCCACUGGGACUGAGAUACUGCCCAGACUCCUACGGGAGGCUGCAGUCGAGGAUCAUUUGCAAUGGGCGAAAGCCUGACAAUGCGACGCUGCGUGGAGGAAUGAAGGCCCUCGGGUUGUAAACUCCUGUCAUGGGGGAACAGGCGAGGGGACCCAAUACGUCCCUUAGUUGAGUGUACCCCAAGAGGAAUUGGCGGCUAACUCUGUGCCAGCAGCUGC
This 517-nucleotide ribosomal RNA is filed under the name uncultured bacterium. RNAcentral's name for it is "bacterial SSU rRNA". It matches the Rfam family "Bacterial small subunit ribosomal RNA", at positions 24 to 518 of the family's 1533-position model. The record is from RNAcentral.